This 496-nucleotide ribosomal RNA is filed under the name uncultured bacterium. Its description in RNAcentral is "partial 16S ribosomal RNA". It matches the Rfam family "Bacterial small subunit ribosomal RNA", at positions 28 to 506 of the family's 1533-position model. The record is from RNAcentral.
GAUGAACGCUGGCGGCGUGCCUAAUACAUGCAAGUCGAGCGAGCAGACGAGGAGCUUGCUCCUCUGACGUUAGCGGCGGACGGGUGAGUAACACGUGGAUAACCUACCUAUAAGACUGGGAUAACUUCGGGAAACCGGAGCUAAUACCGGAUAAUAUAUUGAACCGCAUGGUUCAAUAGUGAAAGACGGUUUUGCUGUCACUUAUAGAUGGAUCCGCGCCGCAUUAGCUAGUUGGUAAGGUAACGGCUUACCAAGGCAACGAUGCGUAGCCGACCUGAGAGGGUGAUCGGCCACACUGGAACUGAGACACGGUCCAGACUCCUACGGGAGGCAGCAGUAGGGAAUCUUCCGCAAUGGGCGAAAGCCUGACGGAGCAACGCCGCGUGAGUGAUGAAGGUCUUCGGAUCGUAAAACUCUGUUAUUAGGGAAGAACAAAUGUGUAAGUAACUAUGCACGUCUUGACGGUACCUAAUCAGAAAGCCACGGCUAACUACGU